UACGGAGGGAGCUAGCGUUGUUCGGAAUUACUGGGCGUAAAGCGCACGUAGGCGGCUUUGUAAGUUAGAGGUGAAAGCCCGAAGCUCAACUCCGGAACUGCCUUUAAAACUGCAUCGCUUGAAUCCAGGAGAGGUGAGUGGAAUUCCGAGUGUAGAGGUGAAAUUCGUAGAUAUUCGGAAGAACACCAGUGGCGAAGGCGGCUCACUGGACUGGUAUUGACGCUGAGGUGCGAAAGCGUGGGGAGCAAACAGG
RNAcentral lists this ribosomal RNA (253 nucleotides) under uncultured bacterium. Its description in RNAcentral is "partial 16S ribosomal RNA". It matches the Rfam family "Bacterial small subunit ribosomal RNA", at positions 524 to 776 of the family's 1533-position model. The record is from RNAcentral.